UCUCAACGUAGACUGUUCGGUUUAAAAUGACUGUCAGGCGUCCUUUGUCUGCAGAUAUUGCCAGACCUGUCAAGCUUUUCCAACAAUUUCUGUUUUUAUUUCCUUGGUCUAUGCUGCUUCAAAGAAAGAUCAAAACCGGAAAUGACACUACUCACCAUAAUGGACCAAACAGUAUAAAUUCCAAGUGGAGUAGAAUAACAUCGCUUCAUCAGAGGAUCCACUGAUGGUAUCACUACCAUGGUGAUGCAAUGUCUGAAAGACAACAAGCCAGCUCGGCGAGCAAGUCAACAACCUCAUCCACAACCCGACCUGCAGAGCUUAACCAAACCUUUGAUUCUCUUAGUGUUAACGGAAAUGGAAAGGGAUGGCCUAAGUUCAGCAAAUGAUUUGGGUAGAGAUAAGAAAUGAAAAAGACAAGUAGUCAUUUGUAGGUGUGUAAGUUUUUAGAAAGUGGUUCUGGAGAAUUGAAAAUGGAAAAUAAAGAGAUGGCGUAUGAAUUGAACAGGUAGUAUUUUGCAUUAAUCAACACUGCAGAGGAUACCAAUAACAUCUCAGCGACUAAUUCAGGAAAUGGAAGGGUAAGAGGUAUUGCGGAAAGUCAUUAUCAAAAGUAGUGCUGAGGAAAUUUAGGUUGACAAGUGCCUGAGUCCUGAUAGAGUUCAUGCUUGGGUCUUAAAAAGAAAGUGGCUCAUGAGAUAUUUAAUGCACUAGUUUUAAUUUUCCAAAACUUUCCUGAUUCGGGGAAUGUCUGAUU
Stegostoma tigrinum is the source of this 754-nucleotide long non-coding RNA. RefSeq lists it as uncharacterized. The record is from RefSeq and is a predicted model, not a curated record. NCBI's taxonomy places the organism in Eukaryota, Metazoa, Chordata, Chondrichthyes, Orectolobiformes, Stegostomatidae. The transcript has 3 exons.